GACGAACGCUGGCGGCGUGCUUAACACAUGCAAGUCGAACGGAAAGGCCCUGCUUUUGUGGGGUGCUCGAGUGGCGAACGGGUGAGUAACACGUGAGUAACCUGCCCUUGACUUUGGGAUAACUUCAGGAAACUGGGGCUAAUACCGGAUAGGAGCUCCUGCUGCAUGGUGGGGGUUGGAAAGUUUCGGCGGUUGGGGAUGGACUCGCGGCUUAUCAGCUUGUUGGUGGGGUAGUGGCUUACCAAGGCUUUGACGGGUAGCCGGCCUGAGAGGGUGACCGGCCACAUGGGGACUGAGAGACGGCCCAGAAUCCUACGGGAGGCAGCAGUGGGGAAUAUGGCACAAUGGGCGGAAGCCUGAUGCAGCAACGCCGCGUGCGGGAUGACGGCCUUCGGGUUGUAAACCGCUUUCGCCUGUGACGAAGCGUGAGUGACGGUAAUGGGUAAAGAAGCACCGGCUAACUACGUG
Molecule: ribosomal RNA, 468 nt
Filed under: uncultured bacterium
Lineage: Bacteria
Description: partial 16S ribosomal RNA
Rfam family: Bacterial small subunit ribosomal RNA
Source: RNAcentral